RNAcentral lists this long non-coding RNA (420 nucleotides) under Monodelphis domestica (gray short-tailed opossum). Its description in RNAcentral is "lncRNA (ENSMODG00000039647.1)". The record is from RNAcentral. Lineage: Eukaryota; Metazoa; Chordata; Mammalia; Didelphimorphia; Didelphidae.
AUGGAGAAGCCCAGCAGUGUGGGUGCCCAGCCACGCGUCAUCCCACGCAUGCCUUCCUGGAGAGACACCAGGCUGAAGCCAGAUACCAGCCCCGGGUAUUUGGUCGGCGCCACCUGCAGGCGGCAUUUGAUCAGGUCCAGCGGCAGGACCAUAGUAUGUGAGAGACCGGUGCUCAUCCCACCGCUCAAGCCGCACAGUGCCAGAAUCCCAGGUGGGCUCUCAUCUGUUUGGAAUGGAACCUUGGGCUCUGCACACCAAUGUCACUCUAAUGAGCAGAUAAAAGAUUGGAGAAGAUGCUAGCAGAGAACAUGCAGCCUUUAUUAGGAAGAAGAGAGGUGAGGGAGCACUGCUCUGAGUGGUCCACCCAAUAGCAAUGUCCAAAGAUAUGCAAAUAAAGUCAGAUUUUAUAGGAGAUUAACA